This is a long non-coding RNA of Monomorium pharaonis (pharaoh ant), 1558 nucleotides long. RefSeq lists it as uncharacterized. The transcript has 2 exons. The record is from RefSeq and is a predicted model, not a curated record. NCBI's taxonomy places the organism in Eukaryota, Metazoa, Arthropoda, Insecta, Hymenoptera, Formicidae.
UUAAAAAGUAAUAUUGAUUAAUUUACUAAUUAGUUUAAGUAAUAAAAUUAUAAUUUAUUUGAUUAAUCCAUUUUAAUUUUUCGUUCCACAAUAAGGACAAUCAGCACGGAACAGUGGUACACAGUACGCAAACGCUGUUCCAGAAUAUGUACAUUUUGACUGUCUCAGUUUUUUUUAUUAACUUCUUUUUAAAACAGUUAAAUUAAGCUUAUAAAUAAUAUUUUUGACUUAAAAAAGAUAGGUUUAUUGAACAUCAUUAAUAUUUUUAACAUCAAUGCACUCAGUUAUUUAUAUUUCAUGGAAACCUCAAACUCCUAUUAAUAUUUGUUCCGUCAUAGGUACUUUUACCUUACGGACGGUAUCGAGGCGGAUGACAGAAGUGUCACUUGUCGCGAUUCCUCCCGGUUUUUAUACCCGUGGAGGCGCGAGCUCGGGUACGGUCGUCGCGCUUUCGGUCGUCUCCGUCCUCCGCUUUCCCUACUCCCGUGGAGGAGACGGGCGCGUGCGCGGGGAGACAUCGUCGACGCUGCCGUUUGCUCGGUCCUUGGUCGCGGUCAUUAGCACAGAGUUUAGGUGAGAGCUGGCGCUUCGCGCCUUUUCGCCUCCUAGUUAGGGCGAUCGGCGGCUCUCGCGCCGAGGGACGAUGCUUUUCGUCACAAAUCUAUUUUUCAGAUUGCUAAUAACCGCAAUAUUGCAGCGGAAAUGCUAAAUGAUAAAGAAGAUAGAAUGGAUAUUGAAUUUUGAGGAUAUCUCAAAGAAUACUGAACACAAUUUAUUGGAUAUUUUUGAAGAUACAGUGAAAAAUAAUACCGAAAAACACAAAGAAACUGAUACAAACAAUGUACGAAAUGCACAUACAGUAAUGGGAAUUUCUUAAUAGGAUAUGGAAAAUAUUCCAUUAUAUCGUUGUAUAUUAUUAUAAUUUAAUUACGAGUUUUCUUAUUUCUAGUUUAAUAUGGUUUCGCUGGGGUCAUCAAGUAUAAAAAUUGAUGCAAAAAUUUUAAGCAACAUCAACAAAACGAAAGUGGGCCUGAUGACCUGCGGACUGCUUGACGCAUUGUUCGAAGGGCAAGUGCUAACCAAUUUUUCAAGAACCGGAAAAAUAACGAAUAAAGGAGACGAAAAAAAAUCAAUCCAAAACGAUGCAAAAUAUGUUGCGAUAAAAGAUUGUUCUACAAUACUUUGGAAAAACAAUGCCAAAUGUAGACGACAUUUUCAAAAAAGCAGUAUCCGACAAGUGCAAAAAUGUAAGCCGUAGCUUUAAGCAGAAAAUUAAUAAGGAAAUAAAUAUUAAGGACUCUUAAUAAGAAUAAGAAUAAAUGUAUACUCCAUAUCAUAUAUAUACGUAUGUGUUCUUUUUAUAAUUUAUAUAUAUGUAUAUACUCAUUUUUUCUAUUAUAAAUUUUACAGUCCUUUUGGUUAUAUUUUUAAAAUAUUAAGAAUCUUGCAUUUUAAGUAAAUUUGUUUUUAUUUUAUUUUUUAUAUAGACUCUAGUCAAAAGUCAAUUAAGUGUUUGGAUUAGGAAUCAUCGAGCACUAGAUAAACGACAAUCCCAAAA